RNAcentral lists this long non-coding RNA (612 nucleotides) under Homo sapiens (human). RNAcentral describes it as "non-protein coding lnc-PAMR1-3:1". Lineage: Eukaryota; Metazoa; Chordata; Mammalia; Primates; Hominidae. The record is from RNAcentral.
ACUAGAUCCUUGCUUGACUUGAGAGGUAUGAGGUUGGAACGGCUGUAGCCAUCUCCAUCUAUUGAGGGAACACGGGUUUGAGAACACAGUCAAGUCAGGACGAGAACAAGAGACGCUGGAUCUUGAGGACAGUGCUUGAGCCCUCGAAUCAAUCAAUGUCUAAACUAAUGGAGGGUCGAUGAAGACAUUUGGCCAGAGGACCCUGAAACACCUGAAUCCCACCUUUGGCUGGCUAGCCCCAUUUCUCAGCAGUGCCUUCACAGGAGCGGUAAGUAGCACUUUAUUUUUAGAGAGAGCUUUGGUGAAAAACCAUAAUGCAAACUUGAGCAAGAGUGGACCUCAUGCUUCUUGCCUGUCAUGGUUCAAGCCCAAUUCUCAGGUAUUACCUGUUCGACUUUCUAGUUUCAUGUUCUCUGCCUCUGGCUGAUGUGUAUUGGCUCAGGUUUUUUGUGGUUUGGUUUUGAUUCUUGGUUUUCAACUAUAUCAGAGAAAAAAGCGAAAGUAUUUUGUCACCUUUGCCUAGAAUAUUUGCCGAAUGGUGGCUGCCCAAGUCCUUUCAAAUUGAGUGAAGAAAUCUGAGCCUGCUUCCAGGUGGGAGGAGGACUGUGUUUC